CAGGGUCAUUUGAGAGUUAAGUUAAAUGAGUACUAGUGCACUCCAACUGCAUGCAAGAGCAACCUGGAGAGACUUUAACAGCUCAGAUCAGCAUAAUACCUGCAGCUGCCACUUGCCUUGCCUGUAUCU
This is a non-coding RNA of Myotis davidii, 129 nucleotides long. NCBI's taxonomy places the organism in Eukaryota, Metazoa, Chordata, Mammalia, Chiroptera, Vespertilionidae. The record is from Rfam.